This 496-nucleotide ribosomal RNA is filed under the name uncultured bacterium. RNAcentral describes it as "partial 16S ribosomal RNA". It matches the Rfam family "Bacterial small subunit ribosomal RNA", at positions 29 to 507 of the family's 1533-position model. The record is from RNAcentral.
AUGAACGCUGGCGGCGUGCCUAAUACAUGCAAGUCGAGCGAACGGACGAGAAGCUUGCUUCUCUGAUGUUAGCGGCGGACGGGUGAGUAACACGUGGAUAACCUACCUAUAAGACUGGGAUAACUUCGGGAAACCGGAGCUAAUACCGGAUAAUAUUUUGAACCGCAUGGUUCAAAAGUGAAAGACGGUCUUGCUGUCACUUAUAGAUGGAUCCGAGCUGCAUUAGCUAGUUGGUAAGGUAACGGCUUACCAAGGCAACGAUGCAUAGCCGACCUGAGAGGGUGAUCGGCCACACUGGAACUGAGACACGGUCCAGACUCCUACGGGAGGCAGCAGUAGGGAAUCUUCCGCAAUGGGCGAAAGCCUGACGGAGCAACGCCGCGUGAGUGAUGAAGGUCUUCGGAUCGUAAAACUCUGUUAUUAGGGAAGAACAUAUGUGUAAGUAACUGUGCACAUCUUGACGGUACCUAAUCAGAAAGCCACGGCUAACUACGUG